UGGCGUCCCCUCUUCACCCCAUCCUAGCCGCGCUUCAGCCAUGGUAAGACCACCCAAAAACUUCACUCAUUGGUCCCUAUGGUCCCCCCAUCCUCUCUCUCUUCUCCACUUCAUCCAAACCACGUGAAGAAUAUUCUCGAACUAAUUUCUUUCUUCUCACUCGUUUUUGCACGCGCGACUGAGAGUCUCUUCGAGUAUGUGUUGGACGAAUGGGAAGCGUGGGAUUGAUCAAUCGAUCCAAGCCUUCCAUUCAACCACGUGCUUACUUGGUUGAGAGAUUUUUCAGUUCUUUGAAGAGAAAGGCUGGAGGUUUCCAGGUUCAAUAUAUAAGGGGUUCGUUUUCAGAUUUUGACAGAAAAAAAAUCGAAAGAAAAGGGAGAGAAAAUUGGAGAGGCGUCAAGCUAGGUUUUUAGUUCUGAUUUGGCAAUCUUCGUUUUCUAAUUUCAGUUUAUAUAAAGAACGUUAGAGUUUUUUUAGUUUGUUCUUUUGAUUUCCAAAACAGAAAAAAGCGAAUACUGGAUUCUUGACUUGGUCUUCAACUAUGAAGUUUGAUUGAGGUUUGCCGUGGAGUCGAGGUCGUUCGAGCUGUUCAUUGUUUGCAAAUCGAGGUUCAUUUGCGGUUCAGUUAGCGCCGAGCCAAUUCAGUCCAGUUUAUGUUCGAGUUCUAGUUGCUGUUUCGUUUGAUUUUGUUGCCGCACUUGCUUGUAUUCAACUUCCAGAAUUAAUCAAACUUUUCGCAUAUCAGGAGUGAUUUCGAGCUAUGUAGAUAUCAUGGAAUGAAUUCAAGUGAUUUGGAGCUUUGAAGUCUGAGUAAAAGCCCAAGGAAUCAAGCCGGGAUCGUGUUCGAGGAUCAACAGAAGAUAGUUAAGAACGAAAUAAAGAAUCUAGCGGGCAUACAGUGCAUUGUCUAGUAAAAUACAUAUAACUUUUCGCUCAGUACUCCGUUUGGGCUCUACAAUAUAUUGUUGGAAAGCUAUUCGAAAGGGCUACAAUUUCAUGUUUUGCAUUUUUGUAAAUUCUCAAUACCGCGCCGCAGAGUGCGCCGUAUCUGUGCAAAUUUCCAACAGUCUGCCAGGAAACAGCUCACUGAACUUGCCCACUGCCGCGCCGCACAGUGCGUCGAAGCCUGCGGCACGCCUGUACAAAUUUUACAGAGUGAUUGUCUUAUUUCUUGCGAGAGAAGGUAUUUUCGUUUGGGCCCAACCCUACUUGGUAUGUAUACAUGGAAAAACAUUAUUUUGGUGA
Long non-coding RNA from Nicotiana tabacum (common tobacco), 1245 nucleotides. RefSeq lists it as uncharacterized. The record is from RefSeq and is a predicted model, not a curated record. NCBI's taxonomy places the organism in Eukaryota, Viridiplantae, Streptophyta, Magnoliopsida, Solanales, Solanaceae.